RNAcentral lists this transfer RNA (78 nucleotides) under archaeon. RNAcentral describes it as "tRNA-Trp". It matches the Rfam family "tRNA". Rfam says of the family: Transfer RNA (tRNA) molecules are approximately 80 nucleotides in length. Their secondary structure includes four short double-helical elements and three loops (D, anti-codon, and T loops). The record is from RNAcentral. RNAcentral also lists the same sequence under 2 other names.
GGGCCCGUGGCCUAGCAAGGCGAUGGCGGCCGGCUCCAGACCGGCAGGUCGAGGGUUCAAAUCCCUCCGGGCCCACCA